RNAcentral lists this ribosomal RNA (465 nucleotides) under uncultured bacterium. Its description in RNAcentral is "partial 16S ribosomal RNA". It matches the Rfam family "Bacterial small subunit ribosomal RNA", at positions 28 to 507 of the family's 1533-position model. The record is from RNAcentral.
GACGAACGCUGGCGGCGUGCUUAACACAUGCAAGUCGAACGGAAAGGCCUCUUUCGGGGGGUACUCGAGUGGCGAACGGGUGAGUAACACGUGAGUAACCUGCCCUUGACUUUGGGAUAACUUCAGGAAACUGGGGCUAAUACCGGAUAGGAGCUCCUGCUGCAUGGUGGGGGUUGGAAAGUUUCGGCGGUUGGGGAUGGACUCGCGGCUUAUCAGCUUGUUGGUGGGGUAGUGGCUUACCAAGGCUUUGACGGGUAGCCGGCCUGAGAGGGUGACCGGCCACAGUGGGACUGAGAUACGGCCCAGACUCCUGCGGGGGAGAGGAGGGGAGUAUAUUGCACAGUGUGGGAAAGCGUGGUGGAACAGCGCCGUGCGGGAUGACGGCCUUCGGGUUGUAAACCGCUUUCACUCAUGACGAAGCUUUGUGUGACGGUAGUGGGUAAAGAAGCACCGGCUAACUACGUG